Molecule: non-coding RNA, 116 nt
Organism: Cantharellus anzutake
Lineage: Eukaryota; Fungi; Basidiomycota; Agaricomycetes; Cantharellales; Hydnaceae
Source: the annotation of a RefSeq genome assembly
GGCGAGAUGACCGAGCGGUCUAAGGUGCUCGACUCAAGAAAUAACCCUUCUUGCGCGUCUUCACGUGUCCUAUUCGAGUCUCGAAAGAGGCGUGAGUUCGAAUCUCACUCUCGUCA